UUAAAAAGGUGAGAUGACGCAUAAAUAAUAUCUUUUAUGGGGCACGUACUAUGUGCCAGCACUGUCUCAUUAGGCAAGUGUUACAACUUCCAUUUAUGGUUAAAAGCCUGCAGGCUUUGAAAGAUUGGCUGGCUGACUCAUAUGACUGAUAGGUUUCAGAGGCUUAAUCAAGAAGUCCAGUUCUCUAGGCUAUAUGAGAAAAAACUGUCAGUAUAUAUGCCCUUGUGUUUUUUUAAUAUACACAUUUCUAUACAAAUAGAAAACUAGUCUAAAUGAAUAUAAAGUUAGGAUGUUAUCUGGUUAUAUUUAAGCAGUAGGAUUACAGGUGGAUUCAGUUCUCUUUUUUCGACAUGUGCUUUUCGUAUUUGUCAACAAUGAAAACAUAUUACUUGAGAAGGAAAAAAAGAUAAAAAGAGAAACCCUUAGCUUUCGCCUUGGGCAACCGAAUCUAAAUAAGUGGCUUCUUGUCAGGAAGAAGCUGGACCCUUAGAGAUUUUAGGUUCAAUUCAGAGGCAAUAUUGGGCUUGAGGCUUUGCUUUGGAGCAAUCGUUCUGGAGAGAGGUAGACUUCAUUUCAGUUUGAAAGUUUGGGGUGGGUGUCAUUCCUGAAAAACUCAGGUUUUGUGGUUAUUACAGUUUCAAAUUUGCACCCCUGGGCCAGGGUUUGUACUAGGCUUUUAAGGUGGGGGAAAGUGUAGCACAGAGCCCGACACACCAACUCUCGGUGAAUGUUCCUUUCCCAUUUUCACCAGGAACCAGCUUAGCUCCAUUGGGAGCAAAGUACAUCAGACUCUAGAGAUGACAUUCCGAGAAAGGGAAGAGCCAGUGCUCUGGAGGCUGGCACUUCCAUCCUGCUGACUUGCCAAGGCGGCAUCGGCAGCUGAGGUCUGAGUUCCAUCCAGUUUCCCAUCCUCUGGACCACUGACAUUUCGGGCAGGUAAUCAUUUGUUGUGCAAGCUGUCCUGUUCAUUACAGGUUGUGUAGCAGCAUCUCUGGUCUCUACUCACCAGAUGCCAGUAGCAGUUACACCCACUCCCACUCCCACCCCCACCCCUGCUCAGUUGUGACAAAAACAUCUCCUGACAUUGCCAAGUGUCCCCGGUGAGUAAAAUUGCCCCCAGAUGAGAGCCACUGGGCUACAUAAAGAGCAAGUGGGAACAGGCAGGGGUCUACCUUACUUAGAGAUGUGAAAAAAGAUGCACUCAGAAUGAGAACAGGGUUGAAAACCAUCCACAUUGAAGAUAACUGUAACCAUGAGCCCUCUCACCAAGCAGUAGGUCCAUUUGACAGUAGACACAGGGUUGGUCUGUUCAAGAUUACAAAGAUAUGUGAAUUCUUCAUUCAUGUAUUCAACUUGUGAUAUGUGUGCAUCACUGCACUUGCCUUUUGUGUUAUUCUCCAAUUCUCUAGCUGGAGAUCUUCCACGAUGAGGCCCUUGUUAGUCUCCCCAGGCAGAAGCACCUGCUCCUCCCUGCAAUGCCCACAUCUCAUUCCUCUCUUAGGUGCUUGCUUUUUCCACAAUGUAUUGUACCACAACAACCUAUACACCAGAUCACCUACUGACCUACCUGUCCAUUCAAACAUUUACUAAGCACAUCCAUGUGCCAAGUGUUGAGUGCUAAAUGUCCGGCUGGCUUCUACUGUAAGCACACUGACCCUCAUGAAGGCAAAUGAUGCAGCCAGGGCUCCGACGCCAUGGAAAGAUGUUUGUCUGGAUGAAUUUAUUUGGAAUAUUUCAAUCAGAAAAAUCUGGAAAUGAAUUGAUACAUACAUGAGUUCUAUGCUUUUUGGCCUAGCAUUGUCUUGAUCUUGAAUUACAUGUAGAGGAUGAGGACACUAUAGUAUUUGCAGCACUUGCAGCUUCUAAAGAUCUUAAUUCUACUUUGGCUAAGUGCUGAGGAGGCAUGGAGAGAGGGUGUUUUUUUUUUUUUAAACUCAAGUUGAAGUUUGAGAUGUUUUGGUAGAAGUGCGUUCAGUGCAGGCACAAAGGAGAAUGGUCAGUUCCGGGGGUGGGUGGUGCUGGAAGGUACGGGAAGGCCCCUGGAAGACUGGAAGGUACUGGAGCUGACGCGAAAGAGGAAGAGCAUUAGCUCACUGACCGGGGCUGAUGGGGAGAAGAAGGCAGGCAUUUCACACAGAGGAAACUACAACUGAAUGCAGCCUGGGCAUCAGGAAGGUGGUGGGAGAUGUUAGGAGGUUUGAGGCAAGAGCAGAGGCCAGAACACAGGGACCCCUGCAAGCAGUACAUUGGAGUGUGGACUUUGUUCCACAGGUAGUGGUUUUUCCCACCGCACCCAGCAGCGAAGCCUUCUGCCUAGCAGAUGUGCAACGAACCUCUGCUGAAUUAACACAGGACUGACUUCGGCACUGCGGCAUGGUGUCUGUGUGCCCUGAGUCCAGGGACGUGGACAUGUGUGUGCAUGUGUGUUUGGGGGACCACAGGGGAUGUCAAGUUCAGGAGUCUGGAGCUUCCCCCUGUUCACUGAACACAGCUGUGUCCACGGGAUGCAGUUCCGCCAUACUUGCAGGCUAGUGAUUCACAGCAACCCCUUCUUCACGCCUUAGCUCAUCUCUAGCCAUUAGGUUAAAGCCUUCUGUCUUUAAAUUGAUCAGAAAAUUCUCUCCUUACUCUGCCCUCCUAUUCUCCACAACUGAAGAUCUGGAAACAUUCUUCUCCAAGGAAAACAGAGAACAGCAGGAUUACUCUUUCUCUGGGAGCCCUUCUCUUUGCCUUCCGCUCAAUUCCAGACCCAAACUCACCCCCUCCUCUCCAUAAGCAGUUCUCAUUCCCAGGCUCCAGCCUCAUUCCUCCGGAGUCAAGAGGUUGGUGAUCUCCUUGAGGGCAAAGUCAGCCUCCCCCAGUGCCUCCUCAGGACCUAUAACCAUGCACACUUUACACUGUUACUUUGCAUUUAAUUCAUGUGUCACUUGUUAACAUUUAAAAUCUUCUCUUAUCCAUUUUCUUUCCCCAGAUAGAUUGAAGCUGCUCCUGAAAAACGUCCAAUACCUUUCAUCUUUUAAAACUUCUCAAGGUUCUAUGCACCUGGGGGUUUCUUACCAAUACAUUCCUCCAGUUUUUUAUCUAUUUCUCUAGCUUUAUUUCUUAGAUAGGCUGUUUUAUGUGAUUUUAUUAUCAUUUCACUAUGAUUGAAUCCUCUACGAAAGUAUGAUACAUUUUAGAUAAACAUGACCAAACAUUUCCCAUGACACUGCAAUGAAAACAGCACUUCUUGAUUUUCUGAGCAAAGAACUAUUAUAAUCAGCCACAAGUCCCUGGGUUUCUUGGACACUGGCAUCUUCAAUUUCCUGAUGGCUAUGGAGAUGUCUGAGAGCAUUAUCAAGGAGGCUUCUCCUUGAUAACACAGACGAGUGAUUCCUAAGAAUCUUUUAGCUCACAAAGUUCUCUUUCCAGAGAAGAGUGGCUUUUUCUCAACCAGGAGAUUUCCAAUGCAUUUACAUUUGAAAACUAGGACCCUUGGAAAGUCUAAUAUUAACUUUGAACUUUUCUCUUAGAGCUGCAAGAUCCCAGAGGACAACAUUAAAACCUGUGAUACAGCAGUCUUCAUAAUUAUAAUGCAAGAGAAGUCAUGACUACCCCUACCAGCCAAUGCAAAACUGUCACUGAGAAAGACGUAACUGCCCGAACAGAGCAAUAACCGGUGAGCAAAAAGCCAGGGAACACAGGACUUUCCUAUUCUGUAACACUGCAAAAUUUACCAAAACAAAGUAGAGGGGGUAUAAAUAGUUACCCUGAUUUUGGAAGGUAAUUUGACAAAUCUUUGACAAGUCUAUAUCCUUUGACCUUUUUUGAUACAUUUCUGACAUCAGUACACACAAAAAUCUCGCCAAUGGGGAAGAAAAACCCUAAAAGUGUAAUGCACAACGAUGUUUAUUCCAGCUCUAUUUAUAUGAACCACCACACGUGCACAUACAGAAACCCUACAGAUGUACAACAGCAAAGGAAUAUCAUCAAUGGGACUUCAUUCCGUUUUUAACAUGGUAUUUACAAAACCAUGUCUUAGGACAUUACCUUUUGCUUUGGCUUGUCGUUUGAUUCAAAAAGGGAAAUGACAUUCAUUAUGUCUUAGGACACUAUUCACAAUGCAAUUUUAUUGAAAAAAGAUUGUAAAAUUACCACGUAAAAAAAAUCACACUAAAAAGGCUAUUAAUAAAAAUGAUAGAAUUAUGGGUGUUUUUGCCAUACUUUUCUUUUUAAAAAAUAAAAUGUAUUGCCUUACUACUAAUAAAUAAUGUUAAAGGCUAUUUACGAUGAGACUGUAUGACCAUGAACAUUAAACAUUGUUAUGUUUAAUAUUAAAUAAGAUGUUAUAUAGAGAAUUAAGAGAAUAAUCCAUGAUCCUAGAUACAGAAAAGAAAAAAAGGAGAAGGGUCGGAAUGGGGAGGAAGAGACAGGAGCAAGAAGAAGGAAAACAAAUCAAAAGAAAUAAAUAUUUACAAAGUUUUUCUUAUGUGGAGAGUUUUUAAAGCUAGAAACUCAAGGUAAUUUUUUAUCCUUCAUUUUACUUUGAUCUUUUUCAAUAUUUUAGAAGUCAAUAUUUUUAAAAAUAGUAAAACCUGAAAUUCGUUUUCUUCCAUUUUGGCUCCUUGACUGCUGCUACAGAACAUAUCAUUCUGGCCGAGCAAGAACUUCCAGGGAAAGUUCAGAGAACACAUUCUAUUUAAAUCCAUUUAAAAGUUGCUACGACCUUUUUGCCUUUCUUCUAUGGAUUGCAUGUCUGCCCCAGAAACCCUGACUUCCUUCUUGCUCCUCAGUUCUCAGCUGAGGUCUCCAUGUGACACCAUGACCUCUGCUAACCCCGUUUCCCCCGUCGAUUACGUCGAUUACUCUACUGAUGAGUCUCAUCAGGCGUCAUUUCCCUUUUUGAAUCAAACGACAAGCCAAAGCAAAAGGUAAAAUGUGAGCCCUCAAGUCCAGAAUUUCUGUCAAGAGCAGAUGAAUAAGCCUAAGUAAAACCUAGUGCCGCCAAGAGAUUAGGGAAUGUGCCUUAACUUUUCUGUUCUUGGUAAAGAAAAAGAAACUGCUUCUUCACAAGUACCUGUACUCUCUUUGUCAAAUUCUUUCUGUUGAAUUUCUGGAAUGGGGGAAUAUGGCAGGCAAAACAAUCACACUCCCCUGUUCCCCCACAAAAAGUAUCCAUAUCCUAAUCCCCAAAACCUGUGAUGUGUUGUUAACCUGGUAAAGGGGAAUCGAUGGUUGUAGAUGGAAUUAAGGUUGCUAAUUAGUGGAUUUUAAAAUGGGGAGAUUAUCCAGAUGGGCCUAAUACAGUCACAAAGAUCUGAAAGUGGAAGAGGGGGGCAGAAAACGAACACAGAUGAUGAGAUUGAGAAGAACUCAACCCACCACGCCAGGCUUUGAAGCCUGAGGAAGGGGACCAUGGGCCCAGGAAUAUGAGUGGCCUGUACAGGCUGGAGAAGGAAAGGAGAUCGAUUUUUGCCUGGAGCCUCCAGAAAGGAAUGCAGACUUAAAGACACCUUGAUUUUAUCCCAGUGAGGCUGGGUUAGACUUCUGACC
Manis pentadactyla (Chinese pangolin) is the source of this 5532-nucleotide long non-coding RNA. RefSeq lists it as uncharacterized. The transcript has 2 exons. NCBI's taxonomy places the organism in Eukaryota, Metazoa, Chordata, Mammalia, Pholidota, Manidae. The record is from RefSeq and is a predicted model, not a curated record.